GUAAACUAAAACCAAGAGUAACAGAUACUCAAAAGUGAUCACAUUCUAAUUACCUUACUAUAUGUUACUAUUAUCUGUACUUUUGAGGUGAUUGACCUCUCUUGUAUCUGUAUGGUGGAAGUAUUUUAUCAUAAUGUACUACUGCAUCUUUCUGUUCUGUUUUCAGUGAACUUAUUUUAUAGUCUGAAAUCAGUAAUGGUAGAGUACUCAGCUGUUGAAAAUUGCUAAUCUUGUUUAAUUGUUUUGUGACUUGUCCAGAUUUUAGAAGAUGCUGUAGAAAAAUUUAAUAAUGCAUAUAAAAUUUAAGAGAUUUCAAAUUUGUGACUGUUGCAUUGUGAAUAGCCCCCAAAUUUAAAGAGUUGUUAUUCUAGUAUUCAAAAAACCAUUAUUCAAUAGUUGUUUGCAUUAUUGAUGAAUGGAUGGAGUUCUGAAUUGAUGGAUAAAUACAUGUUCACCUUUGCCUCAUUUACUAAUGUAAAUGAAACCAUCAACCAGCAUUCAAGUUGGAGUUAAACGCAUUCAACUGCAACCAUGGGUUGACGGAACAUAAUAGUUUGGAAAAUCAAAAACAUUCUCUGAACAUCAAUUGGCUGCACUGAUUUUACACACACAAAAACGAAUAUUUUUAUUUGUCAAUUAUGUUCUAUACAUCCUUUUAUCAGUAAAAUGACAAACAAGUAUCUAUACAUACUUUUAUUUUCCUGAAAGACAUAUGUAAGAGAGAUACAGAGAAAUACUAACUUAGCAAUAAAGUUGCUAAGUUAGUAUUCUGUUUUAGAGGAUCACCAAUUAUUAGAAAGUUCUCAUAUGUAAUAGAAAUCAACAUGUACGUUAAAAAAUUUAGUUGAUUGAAAUACUUGAUCUUUGGGACUUCCAUUAAAUAAGUCAUGUUUAAAUUGUAGCCGUUAAACUCUUUUUCUCUGAGGUUCCUACAACUUUCUCCUCUGGGACAAAAAGGUUUAAUUCCUUCAGAAUAGUUCUAAUUCCUCUUUCUCUAGAAAAAAAUAAUCCUAAUUUGUUUUUCAUAUAGACCUGAUUUAAUUUUUAAGCUGUUCUUAUUGU
This 1062-nucleotide long non-coding RNA is filed under the name Marmota monax (woodchuck). The record is from RNAcentral. Lineage: Eukaryota; Metazoa; Chordata; Mammalia; Rodentia; Sciuridae.